Molecule: long non-coding RNA, 1778 nt
Organism: Rosa rugosa (rugosa rose)
Lineage: Eukaryota; Viridiplantae; Streptophyta; Magnoliopsida; Rosales; Rosaceae
Exons: 8
Source: RefSeq, a predicted model, not a curated record
CGUGUCUAUGAUACCUCACUCCACCGAAAGGUAGAUAGAUAGAGAGCUUCAGUUUGAGAGAGAAAUAGCGCGAGAGAAAGAGAGAGCGAGAGAGAGAGAACUGGAGGCUGCGUUCUAACCUGGGUUUGGAUUUUGUGGAUUUCUUUUCAGCAAAAGUAAGAGAAGAGUUGGGUUUCUUUUCUUGGGGUCCAUCCAUUUGCAAUUGUCAUGACUCAUUACUGAAACAGAAAGAGGAAGAGAAUAGGAGUUUAUGGUUGUGAAAUUGGGUUUGUCAGAGGGUUGGGUGUAUGUGAUUAGUGAGGCUGUUUCUUAGUGGUGCUUCAUCAAGGGAGGCUCGACUUCAAAGCUGGUUAUCAGAAGUUCUUUAAGGUUUCACAUGCUACUGUUGUAAGAAAUUGGUCUGCAAGGUCUGAAGAGAAGGAGAAGGUUGAAUCUGUAAAUCAAGAUAUCAGUAACAGCGAGCUAUCAAAAUUUGCAAGUAUUUUGAAUUGAGGAAAAUUUGGGUACAGCAAGAAGGAAGAUCUGGAAUUACUAUUAUUUUACAGUAAUCAGGAAACUGGGAAAGGAGAUGAAAUAGCUUCUGACCUUAACAGUAACACAGCAUAUAAAGAGCAAGCAAAGGCAAAGAUCAUUUUGCCUUACUGGGGAAAGUUAUGGAAGUAAGGGAGAAGUCAGUCAAUGCAACAGAGAAGUCAGCAGAAGAGCGAAAAUCACAAACCUAGAGGCAGCUAGAGGAACAAUUGGAAAGAGGAUAGUAUCUGGAUUAACUCGAAAAUUCCAUUUAACAGCAUGAGAAGCAUGCUAAGGCGUUGCAGAAGCUGUUAGAAGAGAGGAAGAAGCAUUUGGAAUCGGUUUCCAAGAGAGCAAGCUUGAACAUGAUGUCAGACAAAUUGAAUUGCAGCUAUUGGAGAAUGACGCUCCUGCUGUUAAUGAUACAGGCUUGCAGCUGAAAAUGAGUGAGCAAUUCAUGAAGAAAGGCAAUUAUUUUGAGCAGCAGAUGAAUGACAACCAAAAAGAUGAAGUGAUUUGCGAGAGAAGCAAAAAGAUGAAGUGGUCUGCCAGUGAUAUGGUCUGGUCAUUAUUUUGUUUCUUUCCUCUUCAAUUUUUCAUCUUCGUUUAUAGUAUUUAUAAUUGAAUAUGCAUUUGUAGCCAAAAUAAUGAACAUCAGUUGUGUUUGUUUAAAAUCUGUAGAGUAUGAUUUGAAGUUAUUUGUUGUGGUCAAAAUUUUGGGUAACAUGCUUCAAUCCUGUGGCUGGAGAAAUCAAAAGGGGCGUGUAAUCUCCAAGAUUACUGUAAGGACAGCUACACUAGAAUGAGCCUGAGAUUCAAUUAGGACAUAACUUCAAUCUGUGUUUUGACCAAUUGAAUUUCAGGCUCAUUGUUUUGUAUUUGUCUUUACAGUAUCCUUUGAGAUUAGAUACCCCUUUUGAAUUCUCCAGCUACUGGAUUGAAGCAUGUUAGCCAAAAUCUUCCCCGGCAACUAAGAAUUUCAAAUUAAACCCAGUUUGCAAUUUUCAUGUAAAUAUAGAUGGAGGAAAUACCUUUUUGAACAACCUCCACAACUAAUUAGCACCUUUUUGGCUAGGCUAACAAGUCUUCAACAACUGCUGUCACUUUUGCUAUAAAUAUAACUGGAGGAAGCACCAUUUUGAAGAACCUCCGCUGACAUGUAGUGACGAACAUCAACACCUCUUUUCAGCAAACAGAUCAAAUGUAGCUAGGUUAGCCUAGAAAUAGAACAAUAUAUUUUUGACAAGCUAUGUCAACAACAGUUGUAU